UCUGCAGCUGGAUAAUUAACUGUGACAAAUGUGUAUAUAUACCUCUUUUAGAUGGACCAGCUUUUAGGUUCUGUUUUUGACGAGUUAGUGAAAGAAAUUUUUUAUUUUCUAAAAUACCCUGGAUACAGUGGUCUAUUGUCAGACUGGUAAGAUAAAGGAAACCUAUAAUGUGAUUUAUUUUGUUUAUUUUCAGAUUUAAAAAAAAUAAAAAUUUUAUUCUUUGUUUGGAUGACAGACACUUAUCAUGGCAGGUACAAUGAGGCUUACGCAGAUGCCAAAAACUUAGUGUGAGGUACAUCAGUGUUUUAUAAAGUACAUACAGAUUUUGUAGCCUGACUUUGUAUAUCAGUUUAGUGUCUCUGUGCCAUCCUUCAAUUUCUCCUUUUACAAUUCUGUAUUUGAAAGUACAAAAUGGUAGCAUUGCAUACAAAGUGUACAUAGUUAAGGCCUAUGACAGGGUUCACUGUAGGUAAUUUUAUAUUUGAAUCAAUGCCUGUGUAUGUUGCGUUACACUCUGUGAUGCAGUUGACAUAGUAAAUCGGGAGCUGGGCACCAGCUGUGGUGUGCACCGGUUAGUAAGGUGCAGGUACCCUGGUGUGCCCAUCAGUCGGUUUGCUCCAUCUUGGACUGCGUUGUAAUGAGAGAGUUGUCGGGAAAGGGGGGGGGGGAUUAGCAGGAGAGGAUAGAAAGAGAGAACUUGGGAGGGGGGGACUCGGGCGCAUCAACACCAGACAGGGGUCCUUGUGGUCCCGUUAAGUCUCCCGAUUGUCUGUUUACGGAUUGCCUUUGUUUCCCAGGAAUUCCUCCCAAGGCUGCCACACCUUGUUAAAGGCAGUUUUCUUAUUACGCACUUGCGCUGUCAGUUUAUCCAUGAGGAAGGUAUCUUUCAUGUCCGCAAUAACUUUGUCUAGUGGAGGGAUGUCAGUUAUUUUUGGGCCAGUGUGAUUUUAUUCACUAAUUUCUGUUCCCGUGCCGCGAGUCCAUCUAGUGGCUUGGCCAAAAGAUAGGUCUAGUGGUCCCUACCGACAGGUCUCUCCAGUACAUCAGUCAUUUACUUCUCUAUUGCUAUCCAAAAGCUCUCCACCCUUGGACAUGUCUAACACGUGGAUAUAGGUCCCCUUUGCACCGCAGCCCCUCCAGCAGUCAUCUGUGGGAGUUUUGCCCAUUCUAUGUAGUUUGACAGGAGUGGUGUACCACCUUAAGAAAGUUUUGUAUGACUGCUCUUGGUGCGCCACACAAAUGGAAACUUCUGCCAUUCUCUUCCCUCUAGGUUUGGUGUAGGUCUGUUUCCCAUUGUGCAAUGUAUGCAAGGGUUUUUUCGUUGCUCUCUGGGGAGCUGAGCUGGGCAUAGAAGAGGUGAUCAAACCUUUAUGUGCUAUCUCUGUCAUGCAAAGUCUUUCGUAGAAUGUGAGCGGGGCCCUGACUGCUGCUCAUAUGUGUGGUUUCCUAGCAAAGUCUCUUAAUUGAAUAUAUCUGAAAUGGUCUUUUGUGGUUAGCGGUGCAAGUUGUUUGAGUCCAUCAAACGCCCUAAACUCGUCCUUAUCAUACAUUUGGCAAUACCGCUGUAGCCCUGUGUAUUCCAAUCCUCUAAUGUGCCAUUGGUUCCUGUUGAAGACCUUCUCCGUGUCGAGUGAUAAGACGAGACAAGGCGUUCGAGUCUUACUGGCCCACCAUAUCAUGUCAAUUGCUCUUCUAGUGUUUUCAUGUAAUUGUCUUGUUGGGAUGAAGCCCACCUGACCUGCAUGUAUGAGCUUGGGCAGUAUUUGGUUCAGUCUGGUAGCUAGGAUUUUGGCGUAUACUUUGAUAUCAAAGUUAAUUAGUGAGAUAGGGUACUUUGGGAUAAGUAUAACGUUGGCAGAGGAGAGUGCUGAGUUGGGGUGUCCUCCCUUCAUCCUUUCUGUGUACAUGGCAGUCAUGUGUGGUACUAGUUCCUCUCGUAAUGUUUUGUAGUACUAUCCAUCAAACCCGUCUAGGCCCGACGCCUUGUUGCUCUUGAGCAUCCCCAUAGCCCUCUCUACCUCAUCCGGCAUUAUUCGUGAGCAUAGGUCGGUCAGGGCUCCCUCACUGGGUUUGGGUAGAUGUACUCUGUCUAGGAACUUGUUGACUGUUUUGACGUAGUCCACGUUGGCGUUAUUUAGAGUUGGGGAGUGAUUGUAAACUUGGCUCAGGAAUUCUGUGAAUUCCUUAUUAAUUUCCUUGGGUGUGGUCAGGGUUCUGCCUUGGGUGCUUUUUAAUGGCCGUAAUUAGUUUUUGUUUAGGUUUGAGUGUCCAUUUUGUUGGACUUCUUGUAAAAGAGCUGCUUAGAGUGGAGUACCUCUCUGCUUACAUUGUCUAGGAGAAAGUCCUGCAGAAAAUGUCUAAUAUUCUGUAGCUCCCGUAGUUUUUUUUUUUUUUUUUUCUGUGUGGGGCAUUGUAUAUGUUGCAUUUCUGUUUUGCAUAGGGCCAUUUGGAGUUCCGUUAACCGCUCUGUUUUUCGUUUUUUAUGAUGUGUGGCUAUUUUGACCAAUACCUCUCUCAAGACUGCCUUAUGGGCAGCCCAGAGUAUGGUUGGGGUUUGUCUGGAAGUAUGUUGUCAACUAAUUUUGUUUUAAGCUGAUCUAGGACCUCCUGGUCUCGUAGGAGGGAGUUUAGUCUCCAUCUCCAGGGUGCAUGGGAUCUCGGCACCUUCAGGGUUAAGGCGAUAUCCGCGUGGUCUGACUACAAGAUGAGGUUGACUGGAGCGGACUGUGUCCAUUGCAUGCCCAGCGGAGUCGUGAGGAAUAGGUCAAUGCGGGAAUAUGUGGAAUGUACUCCAGAGUAGUAUGUGUAAUCUAUUGUGUGUGUGGGUGUUGGAUUCUCCAGGGGUCUAAAAGGCCAGUGUUUUGUAUGAAUUUAUUGAGGAGCCUAUCCUGUCCCCCUCUGCCCUGAGCCCUGGGUAGUCCGGCCCUGCCACUGAGGUCAACCGCUGGAUACUGCUCUGCAUUCAGAUCCCCUUCUCCCUCUCCCUCCUCAAAUUAUUAUUCCCCCUACCAGUGAGCCUAUAAGGGUUUCUAGUGCGGUCCAGGGGUGUUAGGGGCAUACACGUUUAUCAUGUGAAGUGGUCGUGUUGAUUGUGCCUGUAAGUGCUAUGUAUCUGCCGUCGGCACCUCUAUGUAUAGUCUGCAGGAGGGAAAGGACCACUAAGGGAGGGGUGGGGGGUAAGAGUACCACUAAGGGGUUUGGGAAAGGGAGGGCCACUAAGGGGGUGGGGGGAGAGGAUGACCACUAAGGGAGGGAAGGGGGAGUGAGAAGACCACCAAGGUGGGGACAGGAGGGAUGGGGGGGAGAUAACUAAUUGACAGGAGGGUAGAGCACUAUAAAAAAAACUAAAAUAAUAAAUAAAGAGCUGUUCCCCUCUCAGUCCCUAUCCUACCCCACAAACCCUCUCUUUUACACUACACACAUACAC
RNAcentral lists this long non-coding RNA (3427 nucleotides) under Pelobates cultripes (western spadefoot toad). The record is from RNAcentral. Lineage: Eukaryota; Metazoa; Chordata; Amphibia; Anura; Pelobatidae.